GACAUCGAGUGAUACUCAUCUUGGGUGUCUGUCCUCCCGUCUAAAAAACGGGAGUUAGCAAGGGCCGGGCAAGACCGGUGCCAGCCGCCGCGGUAAUACCGGCGGCUCGAGUGGUGGCCGAUAUUAUUGAGUCUAAAGGGUCCGUAGCCGGCUUUGCAAGUCUUUUGGGAAAUCCAGCGGCUUAACCGUUGGUCGUCCGGGAGAUACUACAUUGCUUGGGACUGGGAGAGGUAGGAGGUACUCAGGGGGUAGGAGUGAAAUCCUGUAAUCCUUUGGGGACCACCGGUGGCGAAGGCGUCCUACCAGAACAGGUCCGACGGUGAGGGACGAAAGCUAGGGGCACGAACCGGAUUAGAUACCCGGGUAGUCCUAGCCGUAAACGAUGCUCGCUAGGUGUCACAACAAUCGUGAAUUGUUGUGGUGCCGUAGGGAAGCCGUGAAGCGAGCCACUUGGGAAGUACGACCGCAAGGUUGAAACUUAA
RNAcentral lists this ribosomal RNA (482 nucleotides) under uncultured archaeon. RNAcentral's name for it is "bacterial SSU rRNA". It matches the Rfam family "Archaeal small subunit ribosomal RNA", at positions 377 to 859 of the family's 1478-position model. The record is from RNAcentral.